CCAAGGACCAGCACAUACCAUAUCAAAGCUACAACCAACCACAGAAUAUCUAUCCAAUGAAUAUCACUCCACCACUCUCUGGGGUUAAGAAAUUAUCCUCCCAUAACUCCGGAAGUGCACUCCUCCAGUCUCGACUUACACAACCCAUUCCCCACCAACCAAACUGCCCCCCUCAUAACUCUCUUGGGCCCCGAUCCUUGAAACCUCUAUCAACGGCUACACUCAUGCAACCCCAAAACCAUUGCCCACGACCUUCCGUGCAACACCUGCAGCACCCCACC
Molecule: long non-coding RNA, 281 nt
Filed under: Elaeis guineensis (African oil palm)
Lineage: Eukaryota; Viridiplantae; Streptophyta; Magnoliopsida; Arecales; Arecaceae
Description: long non-coding RNA (EGUI_LNC074338)
Source: RNAcentral